Molecule: non-coding RNA, 222 nt
Organism: Vicia faba (fava bean)
Lineage: Eukaryota; Viridiplantae; Streptophyta; Magnoliopsida; Fabales; Fabaceae
Source: the annotation of a GenBank genome assembly
AUGGCUGAUCAAUCUAAGAGAUUUGUUGUUGGUGUGCCAAACAGCAAUAAUGGUGAAACUCAUCCAAAAAUGCCACCUUCUUAUCAAAUUCCUUUGCCCGGAAGGAAUCGCCAUAAUAGCUACUACAAUUACAAUAGGAGUUGGAGGCAAAGGUUUCUUCACUUAGGGCAGAACAAAGGCAACUCCAAAAGUGAAAAUGAGCAAUCAACUUUGAAGACCUAG